UUUUUACUUUUCCGGCAGAAUUUUUUUUUUUAUCCAUUUUUUCUUCCUGACCGACAAAACAACUUCCAUUGUUAUCAACGACGUUCUUCCGUUCGCUUGAUCUUAAAUCCAUAUUUUUCUCGCGAGUUUUGAUUCUUAAAAUAUACCUUCUGAACAAAUGAACUACCUCUAUAAUCGUUUUCUGGUUAGCUAUUAAAUCGGAAAAGGAGAGAAGCUUCAUUUAGUCGAAUCGAAUCGAUGGGUGUGUUGGGGCCGGUAGAUAAAUCCGACAGUCGGAUGAUUCAGUUUUGACCCAUGAGUAUAACAUAUUCAUCCUUAAUUCAAUUCGGCUGUACAUGUGGAAGCAUAUACAAUCAAAACGAAGCACAAUAUAUGAACACAUCAUAAUAGCACUUCGAUUCAAUUGUGAGGACAGGGUAUGAAGUUUAUUGGCUGUCAAGUUACUGAUCACAGAGCAGAAGAUUAAGAAGAAUACAGUUAAAGGGAUAUACAACUCCAUCAAAUUCCCUCAGAUCUUCGUCGCUUAUUGGCCCUUUAAGAAAAGGCAAAAGAAGUUUGAUGCAUAAGUUACCAUUAAACUUACUUGUAAUAGAAGUUGUUCUUCGAGUGUUGAUUGUCCUCUUUUUUCUUUAGGAUGCUUUUUUCUUUAGGAUUCCAAGUAAAAAACACAGGUAUCUCUUCGAAAGUGAGUUUUCUUGCAACUUCACAAUUAAGGUUGAGAUCGAACCAAGCCUUAUGUAGUGGAGAAGGGUUGAUAGAGGACAGAAGGGAGAAAGUUUUAAAGGUAUGAUGAUUGAACCUUUGAUUACUAACAUCGUAUUUAUAGGAGGGCUUGACGUAUCAAAAUGUAGGUAUACUCUGGUUGUAUAAGUUAUGGAAUAUUCUGCAAAAGCCGAUAAUUGUGCAAAAUGGAGUAGGAAAAUAUCUUGGGGAAUAUUUCGUAUAUAUUGUAAAGAUUAUUCCAAUUAAUUGUAGAGUAUUUAUAUACUUCGAAUUAGGGAAUCUAAGAAACUGUUAUGGUUGUUUUUCAAAUUUGCAAAGGAGAUUGCUAUCUUUCUAGUAUAUUGAUGAGAUUUUUUGCGAAAUUUCGGGGUUAGUAUUCGUGAUAUAGAGGUAAAUUAUUAUAUGGAAACCCAACUAAUGUCGUUUUCACAUGUUCU
Long non-coding RNA from Camelina sativa (false flax), 1160 nucleotides. RefSeq lists it as uncharacterized. NCBI's taxonomy places the organism in Eukaryota, Viridiplantae, Streptophyta, Magnoliopsida, Brassicales, Brassicaceae. The record is from RefSeq and is a predicted model, not a curated record.